UUAAAGAAAUGUGAAUUGCCAGUUUGAUUUUUUGCUUGUUGUUUGUUGCAAUCUGGAUAUUCUUCUCUGACUCAAGCAGCAAUCAUCGUUGAUCUUGGACUCUCAGUGUGAGAGUAUUCUCUUUUUGGUUCUUUAUCAAAUGUGGGUGCCAUGGUGGGGGCUAUAGCCAGUGGUCAGAUUUCUGAGUAUAUUGGGCGCAAAGGGUCUUUAAUGAUCGCCACCAUUCCUAAUGUCAUCGGCUAGCUUGCCAUAUCAUUUGCCAAACUGCUUUGUUUCUUCCGCAAUUUUUAGCUGGUGCCGAAUACGGAUUUGGUCAAAGGUCCUCAGCCCAUGGAAGUAGCUCAAGUGGAGCCGGCGAGUACAGUUGAUAAUCAGCCAGUGGAGGAGCCUCCAACAAUGAAAUUCACUUGGACAAUUGAGAGCUUUUCUAGGUUGCACACCAAAAAGCACUACUCUGACAUGUUCAUCGUCG
This is a long non-coding RNA of Rosa chinensis, 472 nucleotides long. RefSeq lists it as uncharacterized. The transcript has 5 exons. The record is from RefSeq and is a predicted model, not a curated record. NCBI's taxonomy places the organism in Eukaryota, Viridiplantae, Streptophyta, Magnoliopsida, Rosales, Rosaceae.